RNAcentral lists this long non-coding RNA (1251 nucleotides) under Oreochromis niloticus (Nile tilapia). RNAcentral describes it as "lncRNA (ENSONIG00000022814.2)". Lineage: Eukaryota; Metazoa; Chordata; Actinopteri; Cichliformes; Cichlidae. The record is from RNAcentral.
UUAUCUCUGGCUAGCUUUCACUCUGGAGAACCCAUGACUUCCUCGUUAAUCAUGUGACUGUGAAAUCUCGCGAGAGCACGUCGCAGUCUGAGGCAUGUACAAUACUUCAGAGCACACAGGAGUACUGUUUGAAGCUGCAGUAUUUUUUAGACCUAUACCCUUUUACUUUUAUAAUUUCUGAAGUUAUAUAUCCUCUUAAAGCUCAGUUCUUCCACGAGACUGUCAUUUCACGCAUGCUCACUUCUUGUCUGCUUGUGGUAAGCUUUCAGUAAACCCCUAGAAGUGUAUGCAAAUGUUUCCAAGUCGAACUUAAAGCAAGGGAAAGUAAUAUCUGAACUAGUUUCAUUAGUAAAUUCCUGAUUUAAAGAAAAAAAAGACUUUAAGUACGUAUAAAAUAACAACAAUCAUUGUAGAAGAAAAUGGUUAGUUUAUUACAAGAUGUAUCCUCAGAGCUGCAUACUGCAUGCAGUCAGCACAUAAUGAGUUGUGAUGUAAUGCCCUGAAGGUAGGAGGGGCUUAAUCUAAAUGACUUCUCAAUGGGGCCCCUCUUCUACGUCAUAUAAGAUGCUCAUGCUCUUUAAGGUCAUUGAACUACUCAGAAGGAUUGGUUGGAAAGCGUCAACUCAUCCACACCAAUUGGGAAACUCACUCUUGAACAGAAGGAUAGCAGCAAGCGUAAAAAGGAAGAUUUACAAGAUGGUACUGAGAAGUUAUGGUGUAUGGUCUGGAGACUGUGGCACUGAUGCUCAUUGGGAGUGACCAGAAUGGACAAGAUUAGACAUUAGUAUGUCAGAGGGAUAGCUCAGGUGGAGUGCUUUGGAGAUAAAGGAGGGUGCAGAUGGUUUGGAGUUCACAGGAGGCGUAGUGGAUAUGUUGGACAAAAGAUUUUGAAUAUGAAGCUGCCAGAGAGGAGGAAAAGAGGAAGACCACAGAGGAGGUUCAUGGAUGUAGUGAAGGAAGAUAUGCAGAGAAGAGAUGAGGGAAGAUGAGCUGAUGUGGCCACGCCUAAACGGAGCAGCCAAAAAAAAGACGGACAAAAACAAAAGUUGCUAAAGUUAUUGAGUGGUAUGUUGUUACAUUGCUCUGCUGUAAUAACAAUGUAAUAAUGAAGAUUUUGGCAACUCCAUUAAUGGACUUUGAAGAUUAAGUAAGAAAUUCUAGAUAAAUUUGAUUACAGCUCUUCUCAGAGGGUCAGCAGAAAAUAAAGGAAAUAAGGUAUGUUGACCUUAAUAAAGCUGCAAAUAUGAGGAA